AUCUUUAUUAUGAUUAAUGGGCCAACUUAAACAUCUUUUGACUUUCAAAUUUCUAGAGUGACAAAUUCCUGUAGGUCCGUUAUUGAUGCAAUCAAGAACUUUACUGUCCAAUCUGGCAAUUUGUUAUGGAUCUUAAAAUCCCACUUGUUCUUUAGCAAGUGAUGAUAAUUGAUAAGGCUUCAAGAAUUUUAUACUAAGUACCACCUUAAGGAGUCCUUAAUUACCUUUUUUUAUUAUUUGAACUGGAGUCCUUAAUUACUUUGGUCAUGUCGUUGUUCCCUUUUAUUAGAGGAUUACACAGGAGAGCUAAAACACAUGGAUGACAGGUUGCUUUUGCUUUUAUAAAGUUUAGUUCACAAAGUGUCCCCGGCUAUUAGGUGUCCUUAAUUUAAUAUAGGAUCCGUCAUACUCCUCUGCUUUGAUGCAGAACAUAAUAAUGCAAUAUUCCUCGACAUUUGCCUUUUGAAGAUCAACUGUUUUACAGUCUGUGCGACAUAUCAAGACAAUGAACAUUUCUAGUUCCAUCUAAUUAGGCAGAAGGUAGUAGGCAUUGAAGAUUUUGUUAUAUUUUCUUCAUAUGUUUAACAAUCAUUUUACAGGGUUCUGGUGGCAUCACUGUG
Molecule: unclassified non-coding RNA, 620 nt
Filed under: Hevea brasiliensis (rubber tree)
Lineage: Eukaryota; Viridiplantae; Streptophyta; Magnoliopsida; Malpighiales; Euphorbiaceae
Source: RNAcentral